Molecule: ribosomal RNA, 338 nt
Filed under: uncultured bacterium
Lineage: Bacteria
Description: partial 16S ribosomal RNA
Rfam family: Bacterial small subunit ribosomal RNA
Source: RNAcentral
CCUACGGGUGGCAGCAGUGGGGAAUAUUGGGCAAUGGGCGCAAGCCUGACCCAGCAACGCCGCGUGAAGGAAGAAGGCUUUCGGGUUGUAAACUUCUUUUAUGAGGGACGAAAGAAAUGACGGUACCUCAUGAAUAAGCCACGGCUAACUACGUGCCAGCAGCCGCGGUAAUACGUAGGUGGCAAGCGUUAUCGGGAUUUACUGGGUGUAAAGGGCGUUUAGGCGGGACUGAAAGUCAGAUGUGAAAAUUAUGGGCUAAACCCAUAACCUGCAUUUGAAACUGUAGUUCUUGGGUGAGGGGGAGGCAGGCGGAAUUCUGGGUGUGGCGGGGAAAGGGG